RNAcentral lists this transfer RNA (76 nucleotides) under Candidatus Improbicoccus pseudotrichonymphae. RNAcentral's name for it is "tRNA-Val". It matches the Rfam family "tRNA". From Rfam's summary of the family: Transfer RNA (tRNA) molecules are approximately 80 nucleotides in length. Their secondary structure includes four short double-helical elements and three loops (D, anti-codon, and T loops). Further hydrogen bonds mediate the characteristic L-shaped molecular structure. tRNAs have two regions of fundamental functional importance: the anti-codon, which is responsible for specific mRNA codon recognition, and the 3' end, to which the tRNAs corresponding amino acid is attached (by aminoacyl-tRNA synthetases). tRNAs cope with the degeneracy of the genetic code in two manners: having more than one tRNA (with a specific anti-codon) for a particular amino acid; and 'wobble' base-pairing, i.e. permitting non-standard base-pairing at the 3rd anti-codon position. Lineage: Bacteria; Bacillati; Bacillota; Clostridia. The record is from RNAcentral.
GGACGCAUAGCUCAGUGGUUAGAGCGCUCGCUUCACACGCGAGAGGCCAUGGGUUCAAAUCCCUUUGCGUCUACCA